CAGCACCUCAAGUGGUCAGGAUGAUUAUUGGGUCUAAAGCAUCCGUAGCCUGCUUUGUUAGUUUUCGGUUAAAUCCAUACGCUCAACGUAUGGGCUGCCGGGAAUACUGCAAAGCUAGGGAGUGGGAGAGGUAGACGGUACUCGGUAGGAAGGGGUAAAAUCCUUUGAUCUAUUGAUGACCACCUGUGGCGAAGGCGGUCUACCAGAACACGUCCGACGGUGAGGGAUGAAAGCUGGGGGAGCAAACCGGAUUAGAGACCCGAGUAGUCC
RNAcentral lists this ribosomal RNA (270 nucleotides) under uncultured archaeon. RNAcentral's name for it is "partial 16S ribosomal RNA". It matches the Rfam family "Archaeal small subunit ribosomal RNA", at positions 477 to 747 of the family's 1478-position model. The record is from RNAcentral.